AUUGGCAGGAGUCUCUCCUGCUGCUUGCUCCAACUUUUCUCUCUUGCUUGGUUGUGACUAAUCAUGGUGGCAAAUAAGAAGUUCAGAGCCAUGAGACCGCUCACUAUAGAGGAAGCACCAUCACAACCUUCCACGGGUGAUUUGGGACUGAGAAGUUCUAAGAGGCAAGAGGUGUGUAUGUAACUGUGUUCUACUCCUUGCUUUUCCAUUUUGCUUUCUUUCCCAAACCCCUUUUAUCUUCCAGGGUUCCAGACUUCUAUUGUCUUUUCCUGGACCACCCACCAAGAGCUCCACACAGGAAGGAAGCAGUCUAGGAGGAAAAUUAGAGUGGGAGAGGUGAUAGUUGGAGAAGGAUUCUGCCACUUCUUUGUUCCAAAUCACCCCCUUUCUGGGUCUGCUUAGCAUGUAAUGGAGGAAUCAGAAGGGUACUCAAAACACUGGAGGCAGCUAAGAUCUGAGAGGCAGCCUUGUGUCAUCAUCUGGAUCUUCUGCAGCACCACAGACAUCAUGAGGCAACCCUCAUCACAGUGUUCAUGCAUGUGUAGAACAAAGCUGAGAUAGCAAAAAUGAGGACUC
This is a long non-coding RNA of Hemicordylus capensis (graceful crag lizard), 576 nucleotides long. RefSeq lists it as uncharacterized. The transcript is spliced from 3 exons. NCBI's taxonomy places the organism in Eukaryota, Metazoa, Chordata, Lepidosauria, Squamata, Cordylidae. The record is from RefSeq and is a predicted model, not a curated record.